CAGUUCUGCCCAGACCACCGGAGAGAAAAGAUGUAAGCUGUCCAGCUGAGAAAGAACGUGGUGUGGCCAUGACCUGGUCACCUGAGGCAGAGAUGGGCAUUCCUGCCAACCUCAAUCUCCUUGGCUUCCACAAUCAAACAAAUGGUACUGACAGGCUGGUUCCCUGGAGAUCCAUCACCUCCUCCUCAUCCUGACUACACGGUCAAGUCAUCGGCACUUCUCCCUGGAUCGGCCCAUGCGGUCCCAGAUCUGGCCCUCUGCUGCUGUGCUCAUCCACCUCCUCUUGAUCUGCCGCUCUCCCUCCAGAAUCAGAUGCUCCUUCUAAACCAAGAGUACCACUCCAUCACUCCAUGUCCUUUUGGGGCUUCAACCAGUGCAUCCGUCUGCCUAACAGCUCUUCAGGGUGACGCUCCGCAGACCACCAUGACAGCUUCAUCUUUUAUUAUGUCAGGCCACACUCCUGGCGCUCCCUAAUGGGGGCCUUCUGCUCCAGCUGCCUGCACACCUGUGCCCAGGCUGUUCUCUGCCUGAUUGCUCAAUCACACCAGGCCUCUAGGGAAGCAUCUCUGGAGAAAGUACCUCUUCCUUUUCCUCUGCAGGCUAACUCAGCCUCAUUGUUUAUGUUUUCUACACCCCAGGGGCCCUUUGUGAGCCUCUUUAUCACACCGAUAACUGUUUUCUCAUUUGUCAUCUUCAUGACCCUUCAGGUGCUUUUGCCCAGGCCUUGCCAGGUUCUGCCUAGCAUCAGUGUCUUAGUUGGGGUUUCUAUUGCUGUGAAGAGACACCAUGACCAUGGCAACUCUUAUAAAGGAAGACAUUUAAUUGUGGUGACUCACUUACAGCUCAGAGGGUCAGUCCAUUAUCAUCAUGGUGGGACACGGCAGCGUGCAGGCAGACAUGGUGCUGGAGAAGUAGCUGAGAGUUCUACAUCUUGAUCCGCAGGCAGGAGGAGUCUGUGUCCACACUGGGUGUAUCUUGAGCAUAAGAGACCUCAAUGUCCACCCCCACAGUGACACACUUCCUCCAACAAGGCCACGCCUCCUAAUAGUGCAACUCACUGUGGGCUCAUGGGGGCCACUUCCAUCAAAACCGCCACAACCAGGUAUAAAUGUUCAACAACUUUAUGUGACAAGGAGGUCUCUCUAUAGCACUGGGAGAAACUUGCUGCCUCAACGCCAAUUGAUCACGGAUAGAGAAAGUUUAAGAAUGGUCAGACAUAACCUUCAGGAAAUAAAAAGGAGAUGCCAAACAUGUAACAACUAGUACCGGUUUUUGUUCUCCUAGCCCCCCCCCCCCCCCCCGGUUAACUAUUCUACCUAUAGGCAUGGCUGGGCCAAAUACUCUUUUUUUACUCCUAGCCCUCACUGUAGGACCCUGUUUGUUUAGCUGCCUACUCUUCUAUGUAAAGCAAAAGAUAAAUGGUUAAACUUCUAAUGCUAAGAGGACAAUAAAGUCCUUGCCCCCAGAUGAAUCUCCAGUUUGACUCACGCCCAUAGAACCAGCAUGACUAAAACAGGUCCCCAGAACUUAGCACAGCUGACACCAUGAGGGAUGUGCCAUUCAGGCCAUGAACCUAGCAUGUGGGCCGCACCACCUGCCAAAAGAAAAACAAAACCUACCUCAUCCAGCAAAGUCAAUAUUUCUGGGAAAGUCUCUAAAUGUGCUAGCCUUGUUUUUUGGCUUCUGUACUUCUGAUUCUGACUAACUGUUCUUGCUAACUGAGGGGUGUCAAUACAGAAUAUGGGUUUGUGCUUAGCAUCUCACCCUGAGAAAGGCUCAGGACUACACUGAGAUCCCCCAAUACCCAUUAUAGCCUCUGGCUAAUAAAGACUUUCGAUUGACUUGGA
This is a long non-coding RNA of Myodes glareolus (Bank vole), 1847 nucleotides long. RefSeq lists it as uncharacterized. NCBI's taxonomy places the organism in Eukaryota, Metazoa, Chordata, Mammalia, Rodentia, Cricetidae. The record is from RefSeq and is a predicted model, not a curated record.